UGUGCCCUUUGAAAAGAGGGUGGUUGGUGCCCUGCAGAGCCAGAGCCCUUCACUGGGGGAGUAUCUAGGACACGCUGCUCCAGUUUUUAGGAUAAGGGGAAGUUUGCCCCUUGAUGUUGGAGCUGGUUUGAGUGUUUAGAUGUAAACCAGCGAUGCAAGCCCAAGUCUUCUAGAUCUACUGGAGAGCUGCAGAUGCUGAGACCCCUGCUGAUGUUGGAGGUCCAUGAGCAAGUCUAGUGGUUCUCCCUCCCUUUUCCCUUGGCAAGAUGCACCCAAAGCUCCCUGAUCCAUGGAGGACGUUUGUGGGGGCUGCUGGUGGCAGUGUGAGGGCUCGCCAGGUGCCAGUGAGAGCUGGAGUCAGCCGGACAAGCGUGGGCAACCUGCGGCUGCUCCCGUGUCGCUGGAAGGACCCAGAGCAGCAAGCAACAUCCCCGGGAUCAGCACAUCGCUCCCUGCCAGCCUUUUCUCAUCUGGGAGCAGGGCCCAUCUUUUUCUUCCUGCAAUUAGCUCAAUUAAAUGUAGGGAGACACAAAAUCCAUGGUUUUGCCUCUUAAAAGUUACCUCUUUGCCAGACUUUCAUUCUGCAAGCUUCUAUUUUUCCUGUCUGCCCUGUGGGACCUUUUUCAGCAGACUUUUGUAAUGUGUAAGCUGUUCUCUGACUUGCUGGUAAACGAUUUCAUUUUUUUCACUCUCAAAUUUUAUGAAAUUAAAAUUUUUGUUCUCAUUUCAGACCAUAAAAGUGUAAAAGACCGCUUUGAAACUGUACCCUUUUUGGCAGAUUUGCAUUAAAUUAUGUCCAAUUGCUAUUAGGUUAAAACUGAAAUACUCUGACUUCAUGUGUGAAUUAGGCUCGAGGUUUAGGAAAUGUAGAGUGGCAGGAGGUGAUGGCAAAAGUUGUUGGAGUAAUUCCAUGCUAUAUAUUUAAAAUUAAAUAUUUUGUGAGCGUGUGGAUUCUAUAGCUUGAUCAAAACUGUACAUUAUUCCCUGUGAAUGGCGAGUUAGUGUUAAUAUUU
Non-coding RNA from Anas platyrhynchos (mallard), 1013 nucleotides. The record is from RefSeq and is a predicted model, not a curated record. Lineage: Eukaryota; Metazoa; Chordata; Aves; Anseriformes; Anatidae.